CCAAACAUGAGUGGUUUACCUGUUAUAAAGGUAAUAGACAAACUCAGGUAGACAUGGUGAGCUACAGCAGAUAGAAGGUGUCAGCCUGGGGGACAGGUGAGGAAUAGGCUAAGGUAAUAAAGGUCACCUUAGGGACAGGUGAGGUACAACUGGCAAGGACAGUCUCACAGGAAAACAGGAGAUGAACAAGCACAGGUAACAAUGGUCAGCUUAGGGACAGGUGAGCUACAACACAGCCAAACAUGAGUGGUUUACCUGUUAAACAGGUGAGAACCAAACUCAGGUGGACAUGGUCAGCCAGAAAAGUAGAUGAGUUAAAACAGAGAGAGGGUAUCAGCCUGGAAAUCUGGUGAGGAAUAGGCUCAGGUAACAAUGGUCACCUUAGGGACAGGUGAGGUACACCUGGCAAGGACAGUCUACCAGGAAAAUAAGAGAUGGACAAGCACA
Erpetoichthys calabaricus (reedfish) is the source of this 447-nucleotide long non-coding RNA. RefSeq lists it as uncharacterized. NCBI's taxonomy places the organism in Eukaryota, Metazoa, Chordata, Cladistia, Polypteriformes, Polypteridae. The record is from RefSeq and is a predicted model, not a curated record. The transcript has 5 exons.